UCAGUUCUCAUUGAUAAUUUAAAGCUUCCACUUUAAUAACAGCUCACAUGUGUGCUCUGCGAGUGUUUGCAGAGGGCUCUCCCAUCACGGAGCCAGGGAACAAGGCAUUUAUUACUUCCAGUUUACAGCUGAGGAAGCACAGAGGGUGCCUGCGGAGGUUGGAGGCAAUAGGCAUGGGAUCCUCUUGGAGCUGACAGUUGUGAACCAUCAGAUGUGGGUGCUGGGAACUGAACUCAGGUCCUCUGGAAGACCAAUCUGCCCUGCAUCUGAAGCCUUGUUAUCCAUGCUGUUGGUGUGGUGGUCAGAUCACAAGUCCAACACCAGCGUCUGCUACAUGAGAGCUUACGCAAGCCUACGUAGGCAGAAGUGUCUGAGGAGAGCUUGUUACAUAGACACAAAUAUUUUUGCCUCUUCUGCUUUAAAGGGCUGCUGUAACUUGCACCUUCCUUUUCCAGUGAACCCCACAAAUAGACAUCAUCGAAAGCCAAA
This is a long non-coding RNA of Mesocricetus auratus (golden hamster), 489 nucleotides long. RefSeq lists it as uncharacterized. Lineage: Eukaryota; Metazoa; Chordata; Mammalia; Rodentia; Cricetidae. The transcript has 3 exons. The record is from RefSeq and is a predicted model, not a curated record.